GGUUUCGAGGAAUGACAAUCCCUGCGGAGGAAGGUGGGGUUGAAACACACCUGUCUAAUAUUGCGAGUUGUUUGCUGAAGACCCUGAGCGCUGGUAUAUUUCUUCAUCCAUUAUCCCAGCUUUACCUCUUCCUGCACCCCUGCAAACACCUUUGGCCGAAGGAGGUCUAAGAAGGCCCCUCCCCCCAGCUUUCAGUUUGGUGUGGAGCAGAAUCAACCAAUAGAACUCACUGAAUGAUCAAGCUCUUCCAGAUGAGAAAACCCCCACCAAAUGGAAGACAUUAACUGCUUGAUGACCAUGAGCACGUAGCCCCCACGCCUACGGGACUUAAGGAUUGAUCACGUUAACCCCUGUGACACCUGUUACCUCACCAUCAACCAAUCAGAGAAUUGCGCACGAGCUGAUCACGGACCCUGGGACGCCCCUCCCUCACCUGGCCUUUAAAACUACUUUGCUGAAACCCAAGGAGGAGUUGAGUGCUUUGAGCACUAGCUGUCCUGACUGCUUGCUUGGUGCCCUGCAGUAAACGCUGCACGUUCCUUCACCACAACCGGGUGUCAGUAACUUGGCUUUACUGCGCGUGGGCGAGAGGACCCAAGUUUGGUUGGGUACCAAGGUGGGCUGGAGUGUCCACACAUGUGGGAGACGCCUUUCCUAACGCAAGAAAGCACUGGGAGUGAGCAGAGGCGCUGGUCAGGCCGGAGGCUGCUGCCCGCACCGCCGCCACUUUCUGGCAUGGAAACCCGGAGCAGGGAAGAGCCCCACGUUCCGUUCUGGCCUUGGGAAGGAGGAUUUGUCAAGAGACUCACAGCCAAAGACUCUUAUCUGCAGACCUGCCAAAGGAAGUGAUUGCCAAAGGGUCUUUUAAAUGAAGAAUGGAGACAAUCUGUUGCCUCUUUUCAUUCCGAACCACGGAAGGGUGUGCCACCAAAAUGAGGGAGUAAAGCAAGAAAGAGGAAAACCAGGAAGGAACCAAGAAGGAGAGGCUCCAGCACAGGAAGGAGGUGAAGAGUAUCAACAGGAUGAUAGCAGAGGGAAGUCCUGGGAGAACAGUGGAUGGAGCCCAAGAGAAAAACCAGUCCAGGUUGGAAAAAGGACGUCAAGGGUCCCAGAAAGGAGGUAUUUAGACUCUGAUAGAUUACCUGUUCUAUAUUACAACGUGGAAAGUUUGGGGGACACUGUUGAAAGUUGGGGAUAGUUAUAUACAAAGCCUGGCUGAUGGAAAAAACAAGGCAAUUAUUAACUCCAAGAAAAACAAAACGUUGUACAAGAAAGGAAAGGUAAUUAUAGUGUAAUGUUAGCUCAGUAGAGAACAUUAUUUAUACAGUUAUAAUAAUAUAAAUCCUGAAUAUUGAUUUAACCGAAAAAGGGAACAAGAGGAAGCAGUGUUGUGGGAUAGGAGACUUAAGUCCUCCCCAACUGUAAUAGUCACUAAAUAAGGAUCUAGUCAGACACAUAUAUGACUUAGAAAUAUGGAAGUAAAUACCAGAAGAAACUGCUAAAAUUAAUUUAAAGUAGCUACCUGCAGGGACUAGUGGUAAAGGGGGUGGGGCAGGAGAAUA
Mesoplodon densirostris (Blainville's beaked whale) is the source of this 1562-nucleotide long non-coding RNA. RefSeq lists it as uncharacterized. NCBI's taxonomy places the organism in Eukaryota, Metazoa, Chordata, Mammalia, Artiodactyla, Ziphiidae. The transcript has 5 exons. The record is from RefSeq and is a predicted model, not a curated record.